Molecule: long non-coding RNA, 192 nt
Organism: Hippocampus zosterae (dwarf seahorse)
Lineage: Eukaryota; Metazoa; Chordata; Actinopteri; Syngnathiformes; Syngnathidae
Exons: 2
Source: RefSeq, a predicted model, not a curated record
CAUUUUGUUUGCCAUCCAUCAACAUUUUGCAGAUAUUGGUAUUUUAUGUUUUCAAACAAAUUUUCAAUGGCAGUUGACAAUGCUGUGGUAUGAGAAGCUGCUGCUGUCUGUCAGGAAUCGUAAAGGUGUUUUGAACGCAUAUAACAGAUGGACUAAGAGCUAUUCUGUCUGGGGAUCCAUCACGGGUCAUUU